CCUUACUGCCAGCAGUGUGUGGCUGUGGGAUGUGAUUCUGCACCCAGUUUACAUCUAUAUUUGCAAACUAACCUGCGCCUGAACUGGGGCUGAAGCAGAGGUGUGCUGUUGUCUACACUACUGCAGCUGUGGGAACCCUGGCACAUUUUUGCCUGUGCCAAAAAGCACCAUCCCAGAAGAUGCCUGGGCCCUGAGAGCAUUUCUCUGCCUUCUUGCAGUUCAGCUUCAGGACCAAAGAACAGAUCCUGUUUUCUUUUCUGGUUCAGAGCCAUUCCCAAUAGGAGUUCUGUUGGAAAAGCAAGGCUUCCAAGGAGGAUGUAUAAAGGAGAAAGGAUGGGACAGGAGCAGAUGAGAGACAGUAAUAGAGCCCAGCAUUACAGGAAAGAACUUCACAGUCGUCUCAUUCAUCCCAACUGCUUCCGGGUCUGGAUAGGUAACAACAGACUGUGAACCCUGCCUUCUGGUUUUGUGUAAGGCACUUACUUUGAUACAAAGUGCUUGUGGAUAAUAGAAAAACUGAGAAGAGUGGUGAGAUCUUAUUGA
This is a long non-coding RNA of Strigops habroptila (Kakapo), 543 nucleotides long. RefSeq lists it as uncharacterized. The transcript is spliced from 2 exons. The record is from RefSeq and is a predicted model, not a curated record. Lineage: Eukaryota; Metazoa; Chordata; Aves; Psittaciformes; Psittacidae.